AGGUGACUGAUGCCCGGUGAGAAGGUGAAAGUGACCUAUACCCCCGUCAGCUGCAGGAAAGAACCAAAAGACAGGUGACUGAUGUCCGGUGAGAAGGUGAAAGUGACCUAUACCCCUGUCAGCUACAGGAAAGGAACCAAGAGACAGGUGACUGAUGCCCGGUGAGAAGGUGAAAGUGACCUAUACCCCCGUCAGCUGCAGGAAAGGAACCAAGAGACAGGUGACUGAUGUCCGGUGAGAAGGUGAAAGUGACCUAUACCCCUGUCAGCUACAGGAAAGGAACCAAGAGACAGGUGACUGAUGCCCGGUGAGAAGGUGAAAGUGACCUAUACCCCCGUCAGCUGCAGGAAAGGAACCAAGAGACAGGUGACUGAUGCCCGGUGAGAAGGUGAAAGUGACCUAUACCCCUGUCAGCUGCAGUAAAAGAACCAACAGACAGGUGACUGAUGUCCGGUGAGAAGGUGAAAGUGACCUAUACCCCUGUCAGCUACAGGAAAGGAACCAAGAGACAGGU
Hyla sarda is the source of this 514-nucleotide long non-coding RNA. RefSeq lists it as uncharacterized. The record is from RefSeq and is a predicted model, not a curated record. The transcript has 7 exons. Lineage: Eukaryota; Metazoa; Chordata; Amphibia; Anura; Hylidae.